Molecule: small nuclear RNA, 108 nt
Organism: Jaculus jaculus (lesser Egyptian jerboa)
Lineage: Eukaryota; Metazoa; Chordata; Mammalia; Rodentia; Dipodidae
Source: Ensembl
GUGCUCACUUCAGCAGUACAUAUACUAAAACUGGAACAACACAAAGAAGAUUAGCAUGGCCCCAUGCAUAAGGCUGACACAUAAAUUCAUGUAGCAUUCCAUAUUUUU